Cyprinus carpio carpio is the source of this 1053-nucleotide long non-coding RNA. Lineage: Eukaryota; Metazoa; Chordata; Actinopteri; Cypriniformes; Cyprinidae. The record is from Ensembl.
GUGAAAUGUGACCUAGACAUAUUCUUGACAGGUUUCAUGUAAUGCGCGCACACACACACACACACACUGAUGUGACAGCUCUAAUCUCUCCAUGGCUGAAGGAAAAGAAAGGUUCUAAUUAGAGCGAAAGUGUCCGUGUUUUCAGAGGCUCUGCUGCGGCGUCUGUCACGGACUGAACUGAAAUCACAGUGUGAAUCGGUGCAGCUUUGUUUCACAUCAUUAUUGCACAUCACAUCUGAUUGUUGCACGGGGUGAAUUUUCCAGGAAACGGGAUGAGAAAGAGAACUGCGAAAAAUCAACACACAUUCAAAGACUGCAAGACAUUCAAGACGAGGUUUUGUGGCUUCAUAUCUGCUCAUUUACAUUAAAACCUGACAAAAUUAACAUUUCAGAAGGUAUACACAUUAAAAACAUUUUAGGUAUAAAUGUUAAAAUUCCUUCAAAGAUUUUAGCUUGAUAUGGAACCAGUCGCGUGGAGUUGGGAUCAAUGCAGCUGUGCAAAUGAAAGCAUAGUGGUUAUUUAAAAAUGUGCUUUGAAGCCAUUUCAUGAGGUCUGUAAAGCACUAGUUCAGCCCAAAAUGAAAAUCUGAUGAAAUGUGAAUGUAAAAUGAGAGUCCAGACAGCUGAUAAAAACGUCACAAUCCAUACCACUCCAGUCCAUCAGUUAAUGUCUUGUGAAGCCAAAAGCUGCGUGUUUGUAAAAAACAAAUCAUUAAGAUGUUUUUAACUCCAAACCCAGGUAACAACUGUAAGUUAUGAAAACAUUGUUUUGAAAUGUCCAGUUUUCUUGUCAUGAUUAGAACUUUAACGUUUAUAAAAAUGUUUCUUACAGCAUUCUACUAACUUUCACCCAAAAUAUUACGUUAUUUGAACUUUUAAUGUUAAAAUUCUAAGAAUGUAAAAAUUUACAAAAACGUUUCUUAGAACAUUCAAGAGCAAAUUUCAUCAUAAGGACAUUCUGAGAAUGUUGUUCUAAGAAUGUUUUGUCUCAACGAUUUGAUAAUGUAUAUGAAGUAUCAAUAACGUUAUAAGAACAUUCCAUAAACAUUACUU